AAACUGAUCUCUCCGUGAAGAAGCGGGGAUACAAAUAUAAGACGAGAAGACCCCAUGGAGCUUUAAACCCAACAGCACCCGUUUAUUUUCAUCCUCACAUAAGUUAGGUUAUGCCUGUUUGGUUUUAGGUUGGGGUGACCACGGAGUAUAAAACAACCUCCAUGAAAAAAGGACCAAAAAUCCUUAUUAGAGAAAGACAUUUCUAAAAUUAAUAAAUUAAUUUUUAAUGAUCCGAUAUUCGAUCAACGAACCAAGUUACCCUGGGGAUAACAGCGCAAUCCACUUCAAGAGCUCCUAUCGACAAGUGGGUUUACGACCUCGAUGUUGGAUCAGGGUAUCCUAGUGGUGCAGCAGCUACUAACGGUUCGUUUGUUCAACGAUUAAAACCCU
Molecule: ribosomal RNA, 390 nt
Filed under: Boophis elenae
Lineage: Eukaryota; Metazoa; Chordata; Amphibia; Anura; Mantellidae
Description: partial 16S ribosomal RNA
Rfam family: Bacterial large subunit ribosomal RNA
Source: RNAcentral